This 92-nucleotide ribosomal RNA is filed under the name Lodderomyces parapsilosis. Its description in RNAcentral is "Candida parapsilosis partial 18S ribosomal RNA". Lineage: Eukaryota; Fungi; Ascomycota; Pichiomycetes; Serinales; Debaryomycetaceae. The record is from RNAcentral.
AAAGAAAAACACAUGUGUAAGAAAAAAUGCAGUUAAGCACUUUUCAUUCUGUAAUGAUCCUUCCGUAAGUUGGACCUGCGGAAGGAUCAUUA